This is a long non-coding RNA of Dermochelys coriacea (leatherback sea turtle), 1774 nucleotides long. RefSeq lists it as uncharacterized. The record is from RefSeq and is a predicted model, not a curated record. NCBI's taxonomy places the organism in Eukaryota, Metazoa, Chordata, Testudines, Dermochelyidae. The transcript is spliced from 2 exons.
GAAAAAGCCAGGGAUUCUACUACUUGAAUGCACAGACUUCAGCAGAACCACAUGAUGCAAGGGGCAUCUUCAUAGAUCGUCUUCACCUCUGCUCUGCUGCCUGAUGCUGCUGCUGGCCUGGUUCUUCCAGCUCCUCAAGUUGUGGCUGCGCGUAAAUUUAAAGGAACUUCCUGAUUUUGGAAGGGAGAGUUAGCGACCAGGAAGCCAUAGAGAGAAAUUCAGAUGAGGUAUAAGUAUGUGAUGCUCCACUAAAGUCAAUGGUAUCACAACAGAGCUGAACUGGACCCUGAGUUUUGCUGAUGUGGCUUUCAUAAGAGAAGAAUACAUAGCCAAAAGUGAACCAUUUAUCUGAAACUCUGACUAUUUUGAGGUCAGAGGAAAAUGGGACCUACAGCUGAGCCACCCACAGCUUUAGUCUGACAGAAGAUAUUCUGCAAAACCAAAAUCAUCCCUUGGUUUGCUAUCUCUGCAUACAUGCUAGUACUGAUAAACAAAACUCUCUUGCUAAAAGAAGUCUGUUUUCUGGAGCCUUGCUACAGAAGAUGAAGGACAACAGCUUGAAUAGCUUCCAGAAGCCUCUUUAUGGAGUUGUGUGAGAAUUUUGCUUUGUUUCAGCUUCUGUUGUCAGAUCCAGAUUUAAAACUCCAAAACAGUUAAGUGCACCACAAGAGGAGGCUGCAGGUGUAGAAAAACACUGCGCUCUCCCCAUGAUGGGUAGCCCACAAGGGACAAGCAUGGCCCCUGAAGUCCUGGAUGGGAAAGUGUUUGACUAGGGUGCUAGAAGAUGCACUUAAUCAUUGUGUUCCUUUGAGUCUUCUGCCAGUGCAGUUUUCUGAAGCCUACCAAUAUUUCCAAAGGAGCGUGGUGAAGAAAACAGUGCCUGCCCUCGCUAGGGAAUGAAUCCACCUGGAUGUAGUGACCCCCAAUGAUGCAGGAGGAGCAAACUGAGGAGGAGUGAUCUGUCACACAAAAUAUAUUCAACAUCCUUUGAACUGAACAGUUAUUAAAGUUUCCUUCUAGUGAUAGCAAAACAUUCUGUACAUUACCAAAAAUAACGCUGCACUAUCUGUUUCUAAUAAAGUUAUGGCUGAGUGGAUUCAUAAAACAAACUUAUUUUUAUUGAUAAAAAUGACCCAUAUGCUAUAAUAAACAAAAAGUAUAUUAUACAUGUAAGUGCUUUGUAGCAAAGUGUGCUCUGAUCAGAGUUAAAAUUGUUCUUCUUGUCAAAGGGAAGAAAUGUGACUGAGAGAUUGGAAAUCUAUUGAAAUAGCUCAACUGAUGUGCUGCUACAGUUUCUAGGCAAACUGAUGGUCCAUCUGUUCAUAAUAACUUAAUAAAAUCAAGGAAUCAGUAUAUUCCUUUUUCCAUGAGAAGGUGACUUACUGUUUCAUAAAUGCCAAUGUAAUGUUUUAUUUGGUUCUGCAAUUCCUGGUUUUGCUCUUGAUCUCACAUAUUUUAACAGUUUGUGCAAAACAUGAGAUGACUCUACCCCUUUCCUUUCAACAUUUGCUUUGAGGAGUGAUCAAUGCCUUCUGCCUUGCCGUUAAAUAGAUUUUGAAGAACUCAUUAAUCCAUAUCAGUGUCAUAUCCUUAUUUAGGUCUUUGCAUUUAUCCUCAGCUGGGAAUUCUGCAGGUAACUGUGAUUCUGUUGUGUUGAACGCUUAAAAGUGUUUCAUCCAUCAUCAUUUCGAGUCCUUUUCUGAUGCAAUAUAGUUUGUUCUUUGUCUUUCUUGAAAACUGAAUGGCUGUUAAAUUAUCCAUUUAUCUUCUUUCA